Molecule: ribosomal RNA, 465 nt
Filed under: uncultured bacterium
Lineage: Bacteria
Description: partial 16S ribosomal RNA
Rfam family: Bacterial small subunit ribosomal RNA
Source: RNAcentral
CCUACGGGCGGCAGCAGUAGGGAAUUUUCCACAAUGGGCGCAAGCCUGAUGGAGCAACACCGCGUGAGUGAAGAAGGGUUUCGGCUCGUAAAGCUCUGUUGUUGGAGAAGAACGUGCGUGAGAGUAACUGUUCACGCAGUGACGGUAUCCAACCAGAAAGUCACGGCUAACUACGUGCCAGCAGCCGCGGUAAUACGUAGGUGGCAAGCGUUAUCCGGAUUUAUUGGGCGUAAAGCGAGCGCAGGCGGUUGCUUAGGUCUGAUGUGAAAGCCUUCGGCUUAACCGAAGAAGUGCAUCGGAAACCGGGCAACUUGAGUGCAGAAGAGGACAGUGGAACUCCAUGUGUAGCGGUGGAAUGCGUAGAUAUAUGGAAGAACACCAGUGGCGAAGGCGGCUGUCUGGUCUGCAACUGACGCUGAGGCUCGAAAGCAUGGGUAGCGAACAGGAUUAGAUACCCGGGUAGUC